Octodon degus (degu) is the source of this 2454-nucleotide long non-coding RNA. RefSeq lists it as uncharacterized. The transcript is spliced from 3 exons. NCBI's taxonomy places the organism in Eukaryota, Metazoa, Chordata, Mammalia, Rodentia, Octodontidae. The record is from RefSeq and is a predicted model, not a curated record.
AAGAUGUUGAAGACGUGCCGGCUUCCACGAGAGCUAAAGAAGAAACUGAAGAUGUGUCUUCCCCAAGGAAGCAAAAAUCUCCCAUCAGUUUCUUCCAGUGUGUCUACUUGGAUGGCCACAACGGCUAUGGAUUUCAGUUUCCUGUCACUCCCGCACAACGCCCUGGAGAGAACUCUGGCAAACCCAGUUCUUCGGGACAGAAGCAGCAAGGACAAUAGGCAACAAACACAUGACCUUACAAGUGAUUUACAAUUGGGAAAAUGAGAUUUUCUGUUUGGUCCUCAGUAGCCCAGGCGAUUGAAGGCAUUCCAUCCUGAGAAGUUCUUUUAAGGCAUUUUACUCUUCUGCCUGGUGUAGAGACAAUGGGUGGCAAAGGGACUGAAUAAUAAGCAAAUGUGUGGAAGGGUCUGAUGCACAACAUUCAGUCAUUAGUAUUCAUUUCUAUGAGAAGGCACUGCUUGCAUUUUUCUAUUUUCAAUCACUGUAAGGUUGUACACAAAUGAAAGUUUACUUAAUACUGGUUUUUUAAAAAUAUAAUCAACAUAUUAACACAAUGAAAUUCCUACCUUCCAUUAGAUAUCUGUUGUUUUAAAAAGAAAUCGAUAUUGACUGCACAGUACCUUUAAAAGGUACAGGAGUUCAUGUAAAAGAUUCUUGUGUAUUAUGUAGGAUCUGAACUCAAUUGACACAAUAAGUGGAUUCUGAAUAGUUUUAUUCUGUGUGCUUCUGUUUCUCUUUUAGUCAUACUAAUACUGUAGAACUGGCAAAGAGUUGCACCAAAGACUGCUGUAUAUUCUCUGUGACGCUCUUACGCUCAGGAUAUCUUUGAACGUUAGACGCACUAAGAUGAAGAAUAAAUGCUUGACAACUCUUAUCUCUAAGAUUUGUCUUGAGUGACAAUUAAGGCAUUCACUGAGACAGAAUUAAAACAAUUCAAUUAGGACAUUCACUCCGUCCAGGUAGGCAAGUCUGUUGAGUCACUUGUUUUAAAUAAAAGCAAACGACAUGUACUGAAUCUUAGAUUUCUCCAGACUGCGCCCUCAUGAAAAUGCCUCUGAUGUGAAGUCUCAGAUCAAUCACGGAACAUGGAUCAUAAAUGCAAAAAUAUGUUCAUGUCGUUGAAGCAUUCACAAUCCUUUUAUGAAAUGGCUUUCUUUUUCACAUUAGAAAAAUAUGAGAGCCACCAAACUUUAAGGAAAACAUUUGAACUGUGGAUGCUUUCAUGCCUUGACUGCUUUUAAGCUCAUCAGCACCCACGAAAUAGCUCCAAACUCACUUGACAAUUCCUUAUGGGAAAUGACUACUAUGGUUUUGUCAUUUUUCUAGUGACAGAAACACUCAUUUUCUUUGCAAAGUUUUGCUCUCGACUUCUAAGGUCAUUUCUGUGAUCUUUAUAAUGUUUACAGUUGCAAAAUCUAAUGACGCGGUAACUCAGGAAAUAAUGAGUUGUGCUUUCUGGCAUUAUGGUUAUCUUCCUCGAGGCCUGACCUUGCCAGAUCCUGUAUCAUCAGGUGAAUUAUUUUCAAUGACUGCAACUAUUAAUGGUUUUUGACACUUAACAGUUUUGCUAAAAAUUCUUAAUCUAGAACAUCUGUCAUACGUUCGUUGUUUUAAAAAAGUGAAUUUCAGCGAGUUUUGUGAAAGAAGUUGAUCUCAGCCACAUGCUGGCAGAUCUAAUUCAUACCACAAGACCCAGCACCACAAGGAACCAGAUUAAUGACACUUUUUAGGGGCACACAUCUGGAAACAACUUCAGGUUGAGCCAGAUAUACCAACUUAUAAAGCCCCUUCACGUAGCUGGAUAAACUUGCCAGUUCGACAGUGAGAAAACUUUAUUGUUGACUUGCUCUCCAACAUGUUGAACUUAACAAGUUAGAAACAGGGAGAUAAUGUGAUACCUGUUUUAUAUUUGACAGAACAGAAUGUAAUAUCACUAAAUGAUUAACAUUCAGUGACAAGCGAGCACUUAACUCUUUCUACACUGUCUGGCCCUGGACUGUGUAAGACAAAGCGAUGCAUUCGAUCACCAGUGAUAACCUGGCAAGUUUGCUAAAUGGACUGUAUCUAUUUUCUCAAGUAUUUAUUCUACUUGAGUAAAGUAGGGCUAUGAAGUGCAACACCCUAAUAGCUCUCACAGGUACUAUGAAGAUUGAUCAAAUAUCUUCCUAUGUUUAUGGCACCAGAAUACAUUUCUGAAAUAAUACUUUCGGACAUGGCACUAUAUUUUCUCUUUUCCAUAUUAUGUUGUCCUUUCUUUUAUUCUCAUUUUGAAAAUAAUUUGAUAAAAACAUGCAUAUGUCAUUGUACUUAGAAUUUAGUUAAAUUGAUUAUAACGUAAGCAAUUUUAAUUAUUUAAAUUCUUCUGACUGAGAUUACAAUGGAGUUAACACUCAUAAAAUACCAUUCUAAAUUGUCAUCUGUUCCAAUCAAAUAAAAUAUUUCUAACUCUUUCAA